This 2711-nucleotide long non-coding RNA is filed under the name Gossypium raimondii (Peruvian cotton). Its description in RNAcentral is "long non-coding RNA (GRAI_LNC001987)". Lineage: Eukaryota; Viridiplantae; Streptophyta; Magnoliopsida; Malvales; Malvaceae. The record is from RNAcentral.
AAAGUCAGCCUUGAAGAGUCCUUUAUGUGUGAACAUGUCCAACCGAAUAGUCAUUGGUGUGAACGGCAUUAUGCUGAUUUGGGGGAUGAAUUUGGUCAGCUGAACAUGCACUUGAAGAGCCAUGUAUGUAUCAUCAAGUUCAUUGAAUCUAAGGUGAAUGCACCUUGCUUAAUGGUUCUUCCAAAUUUGGCUCACCUACAAAAUGGAUGAAUUCAGCUUAAUUAAUUCACAUUUAGCUGAACAUAAUUAAAAACAUAACCUGGACAAUUUAAAUGCACAUAAUUAAAGCUAGACACAAUUAAUUAAGUUAAGACAAGACAUAUUAAAAACAUGCAAUAACAAAAAAGAACAUAUUUAUAUGUUGUGAGAUUUAAGACAACUUAAUAACAUGCAAUAAAACAUAAUUAACAUGAAUACUUAAAUUUGUCCAGAUUUUAAACCAAUUAAACAACGAUGAUUAAUUGAGCUGUAUUUAACUAAUUUAACUAACUCAAUAAUUAUUCCAGCAGCUAAAUUAUUGUCUAAAUGAAAUUGAGCUGAAUCAAAAUUUAAUGAGCUGAAAUUGAGCUAAGUUCAGCUCGCAACAAAUUGCGCGGAGAGCUCAUAGAAUUGGCCCAAGCUUCUUCGAUGGGUCCAACUAAGGUCUCGCUCCAAACUUUAUCCACUAGAGCCAAAACAGCCUCUUUGAAGUGCUUGGCUCGCGAUCGGGUGAUAGGGCCUUGGGGCAGCUUCAAAGGUUCCUCGCUCGAGCUAGUAGUGACUUGGGGCGUGGCCGUAUCAAUAGUAGUAUAAACUUGCAACAAAAUUAACCCUAGAUUACUUUAAACAAUAGAUGCUUAUGAAAAAAAAUACUAAUAACUCACACCUUUACUAGGUAAUUUUAUCAACUUCUCUCCCUAUUUCUAACAUUAAAAAGCUUAUGAAUCAAGUGACAAUUUGAAAUAAGAACAUAUAUGCAUGAGCACAAGAUCAUUCGUUUUUCAAGUUCCAGAAAAAGAAAGUGUAGAAGAGAACAGGAGAAAAAAAUAAUACAACAAGAACUAUCUACCUGUGUUUCAGCAAUCAGCUUCCUUACAAGUUCUUUAGUGCACCUAAAGAUCAAAGCACAUGGCAUUCAACAGUCAAAAUUCAGAAGUCAUAUAGGAAUUUCACUUUUAGCAAACUUAGAAAAGAAUCAAUAGAAUUUAACGAAAUCAAAAGUUUAAAAAUUUAUCUGCUACACAUAACUAAAAUUAGCCAAUUCGAAAAGAGUAAUAAAUAAAAUUCACAACUUACACAGAACUAAUAACAAAAUUUUAACCUAAACACAAUGAUUUCAUUCUCAACUCACGACUCUAAAAUAUGAACAAUUCUUAAAUGAAUACAAUAAUAAAACAAUUGGCCUUGGGUACAACAUUUUAGUCUUCCCCAAACAUUUCAAGAACUGUCUAUAUAUGGUUUUCUAACACAACUAAACUCCAAAACUUAUGUACUAAAUAAAGACAGGAUGCUAUCACAUAACAUGAUUACAUAAUUAUGAUAAAAAGAAAAAGUCAACCCACAAGUUGACCACUGCUCUCCCUUUCAAAUAUUCAUUGCCCUCUGUCCUUCUUCUUCAUUUGAUAAUAUUGCAUUUUCUUAUUAUUAUUAGCUAUUACUCAUUCUCAUCCCAAAAUUUCUAUUUCAUCCUUUAUAAAUUUUUUAUAAGUUUUAAUUAAUUCUUUUAAAAAUUAAGAGAAUUUUCAUAAAAAAAUUGUGGGGUUAAAUAAAAGCGUUGUAACACUUAUAUAUAUUUUCAAAGGGGUUCUAAUUCUGUAUAGCUUCAUACAUACUUUUUUCCUUUCUCCACCCUUUUAGCAAUUACAAAGAAGUACAAGUCUAUCAAAAGAAUAAAAUAAAAAGUUAGAACUUACAUAUUAAUAACUCCAGACAACAUUUAAAUUAUCAUUCUGCACAACAAGAAUGUCAUAAUAAGGCUUCAAGAUACCUUUGACAUAUUUUUUUUUACUGAAAUUUAGUUUCUACUGAAGUUCAAAUCCCUUCUUUUAGCUUUAUUUCUAAAUUUUAUCCUAGAUUCAUCAGAUUAAGAAAUUAGAUUUAAGAUACAUAGACUCUAAAAUGAUAUAUAGUAAAACCAAUAUUUCCAAGUUCAUUGGAAUUGAUUUUGUUCAAACACAUAACAUGGUUAAAACAAACUAUAGGCAAAUCAGUAUCCAAUACCUUCAUGCCUACAUACAUACAUGCAUACAUAAAAGUAGUGAACGACUAAAAUUCCAUAUCCAUUAAUAACCUAUUUCCCUACAAUCAUUGAUCAUUUGGUUGGCCAAUAGAAAUUCAAAAACAUUGACAAUAGAUAGAUAUACUGAUAAAAAUACGAAUAAGCUUAUAAUAUACAUUGUACUUAUAAGAGAUCACGAAAUAAUACAUGAGAAAAAAAAAGGGAAGUUUCUUACCUGAGAAGCUUUGACCAAAACCUAAAUUGGGUUAUAGGAAAAGAAAGGAUUGGCACAAUGUGGAAAUAAGGAUUGGAAAAGAACGCGAUGCAGUAGACGCGCUUUGGGGAAAAGAAUUAGGGAUUUCGGAGAGGGGGAACGAAUUUGGGGAAAAGAAGUUGGGGAAAAAGGAAAGGGAAUUGGGAAAAAAAAGUUAGGGAUUUCAGGGAGGGGGAACUGAUUUGGUGAAAAUAAAUUGGGGAAAAAAAGAAAGGGAUUGGGAAAACAAUUAGGGAUUUU